This 497-nucleotide ribosomal RNA is filed under the name Lucidota atra (black firefly). RNAcentral describes it as "partial 16S ribosomal RNA". It matches the Rfam family "Bacterial large subunit ribosomal RNA", at positions 1825 to 2600 of the family's 2925-position model. The record is from RNAcentral. Lineage: Eukaryota; Metazoa; Arthropoda; Insecta; Coleoptera; Lampyridae.
GUCUUUUUGAAUAUAAUUUAAGGUCUAAUCUGCUCAAUGAUAAUUUAAAUAGCCGCAGUAUUUUGACUGUGCAAAGGUAGCAUGAUAAUUAGUUUAUUAAUUGUAAACUUGUAUGAAUGAUUGAACGAGAAAAUUUCUGUCUCUUUUUAAUUUAUAAUGAAUUUCACUUUUAAGUUAAAAGGCUUAAAUAAUAGUUAAAGACGAGAAGACCCCAUAGAGUUUUAUUUUUUAAUUAAUUUUAGAAAUAAUUUUUUAUUUUUGAAAAAAUUAGUUGGGGUGACUUAAAGAUUUAAAUAAUUCUUUAAAUUGUAAUCAUAUAUAAAUGAAUUUAAAAUCUGAUAAUUUUCAAUUUUAAAUUAAGUUACCUUGGGGAUAACAGCGUAAUUUCUUUUAGAGUUCUUAUCGAAAAAGAAGAUUGCGACCUCGAUGUUGGAUUAAAGAAAAAUUAUGGUGCAGAAGCCUUGAAUUUAAGUCUGUUCGACUUUUAAAACUUUACA